CCCUGCGCUUGCCUACCCUCUUUUUCUCCAACCCAGCAGCUGAGCUCUGGGCGCAGCCUGCAGCGCGUGAGCACGCAGCCCGGCCCCCCGCACGAGCACACACACUCACACGCGCGCGCACACCCGCCAGCCGCGCCGAGCGCCCCAUGCCCGCCCGCACACAAGGCAUGCGAGCGCGCACACGCCCAGGCCCCGGGGGUUUGGUUUGCACACGUGGGGCCCCAGAAAUAUACACCCAAUGUCCUCUGUGAAUUUUACCACCUCUGACGCCCCAGCGGGCCACAGGCCUUUUCAAGGGACACAGCGACACCUGUUUUAGGGGGCGAGUAGGGCACCGGGGAAGGAGUCUCUGAUACGACAAUUUUCGGAUACUAGUGAUUUACCAAUCAACUCUCAGCGCUUUAGGAAAUUUCCAAGGCAAGCACUAGUGUGCGGACUUCUUUCUAAUCUUGAUGCGCCUCUUGGGGUUAUUUGUUGGGCUACACACACACGUACCCACACGCACACACGUAUAUCACGUACGCACACGCACACCCGGACCCACACACACCUGCACUGUCUUUUGAUGAUCGGCACAGACCCUGCGUGGGUGUUGCCUACCCUGCAACAGAAUACUUCUGCAGCUGGGUUUGCGCUCGGUGCAAGGUGCUAUCGACCACAGCUUGAGUCAAAAUCGAAAAAUUAACAGGGCUCUUUCCUUUCUAAACGACUUUAAGCUCUGGUUUUCUUCCCUUCUUCUGCACCAAACAGAAAAACAGAAGUCUAAAUUGUAGCGUCUUUAAUAAAAUGCUAAAGAAGGCAUUGGCCAACUUUAAUCCUUAAGCCUGUGGAGAGAGAAAAAUGAAAACGACCCCCAAAAUUUUGCCAAACUACACUAGAGGACGUCAAGCUGUCAAACUGUAGAAAUGCAAACGGAUUAAGGAGAAGCAUUGAAUUUGCUUCUCCAGGCAGCGUGCCCUCCAGGGCCAAAUUUUUCGUCCCCAUACUCAGACAUUUGGAGAUGCAUAGACAGAGAAAGGGGGAGAAAGGUGCAAAAUAACGGGGGUAGGACAGGCUAUGGAGGGUAAGGAGCUGAGGGGGAGCCGCGGGGGUCCUAUUGCAGCACUUGGCUACGUGAGGUGUCUGCAAUGUGCGGCUUCUUACCCACGUCCCGCGGGAGCCGCAGACUCCCAGGCAGCCGCCCUGGCCCUGGAGGCGGAGCCACGUCGCCCCGCCCUGGUUAUGUCACCCGCCUGCGGGCGGGCGGUUAGGGGCUCGCCUUCCGGCGUUCAGGGGCACAGUGGUGGCCCCGGUGUUUUCCUUUCCCGAGCUCGGAGGCUCCGGGAAGAACC
This 1331-nucleotide long non-coding RNA is filed under the name Macaca fascicularis (crab-eating macaque). RNAcentral's name for it is "lncRNA (ENSMFAG00000063673.1)". The record is from RNAcentral. Lineage: Eukaryota; Metazoa; Chordata; Mammalia; Primates; Cercopithecidae.